CCCUUAGAUGUUCUGGGCUGCACGCGCGCUACACUGACGCACGCAACAGGUGCCUGCUCCGAGAGGACUGGGUAAUCAUUUGAGUGUGCGUCGUGAUGGGGAUUGAAUAUUGUAAUUAUUACUCUUCAACGAGGAAUUCCUAGUAAGCGCCAGUCAGCAGCUUGCGCUGAUUACGUCCCUGCCCUUUGUACACACCGCCCGUCGCUCCUACCGAUGGGUGAUCCGGUGAAUGAUUCGGACUUCAGCGGCUCCCCUGGGGUGCGCCGGAGAAAGUUUUGUGAACCUUAUCACUUGGAGGAAGGAGAAGUCGUAACA
Molecule: ribosomal RNA, 315 nt
Filed under: uncultured eukaryote
Lineage: Eukaryota
Description: partial 18S ribosomal RNA
Rfam family: Eukaryotic small subunit ribosomal RNA
Source: RNAcentral